CCUACGGGAGGCAGCAGUGGGGAAUAUUGGUCAAUGGGCGAAAGCCUGAACCAGCAAUGCCGCGUGAGUGAUGAAGGCCUUCGGGUUGUAAAGCUCUGUCGGGAGGGACGCGGUACCUCCAAAGGAAGCACCGGCUAACUCUGUGCCAGCAGCCGCGGUAAUACAGAGGGUGCAAGCGUUGUUCGGAAUUACUGGGCGUAAAGCGCGUGUAGGCUGCAAGGUCAGUCGGAUGUGAAAGCCCUUGGCUCAACCAAGGAAGUGCAUCCGAUACUGCUUCGCUUGAGUGUCGGAGGGGGCGGCGGAAUUCCCGGUGUAGAGGUGAAAUUCGUAGAUAUCGGGAGGAACACCUGUGGCGAAGGCGGCCGCCUGGACACACUGACGCUGAGACGCGAAAGCGUGGGUAGCAAACAGGAUUAGAUACCCUAGUAGUC
RNAcentral lists this ribosomal RNA (431 nucleotides) under uncultured bacterium. RNAcentral's name for it is "partial 16S ribosomal RNA". It matches the Rfam family "Bacterial small subunit ribosomal RNA", at positions 338 to 795 of the family's 1533-position model. The record is from RNAcentral.